RNAcentral lists this ribosomal RNA (621 nucleotides) under Carapoia viridis. RNAcentral describes it as "partial 28S ribosomal RNA". Lineage: Eukaryota; Metazoa; Arthropoda; Arachnida; Araneae; Pholcidae. The record is from RNAcentral.
AGGCAAACGGGUGGGCCCUCGAAAUCCUCUUGCGGAGAGAUUCAGUCGGGAGCCGCGGAGGCGGAAGCGAGUAACGGACCCUCGAGAAGGACGGACCUCGCUCCGCGGUCUCUGCGGAGCCCGACGCACUUCUCCCCGCACUCUGGACGCCGCAAUGGAUCGGGUAGCUGCGAGAGUCGGCCUUGGGGCCGUCCCAGGCAGGUGGCCGGUACGUCGGCCUCGUGCUGGCGAACCGGUUAUUCACGGGGCGGUUACGUGGCGCGACACCCGAUCGACGUCGAAGUUCCCCCUACGGGGAACAAUCCGUCUCCGUCCUCUAGGGCGCGGCGGCCGGGACAGUGAGCGCCGAAGACGCCGAACCACUCCUCGUAGUGGCCGGCGCUGCGGUGGCCGUCGUUGGUUCCGGUCUGGCCGCUGCGGGACGACGCGGAUUGCGGCGAGUAGGUCGGUCACCCACCCGACCCGUCUUGAAACACGGACCAAGGAGUCUAACAUGUGCGCGAGUCGCAGGGUCUUGAACAGGCCCUCGGGCGCAAUGAAAGUGACGGUCUCACGACCGAGUUGGGACUCCCGGCGGAGACGUCGGGAAGCACCAACGACCCGUCCCUUCCGGUCCGCCGG